Molecule: transfer RNA, 71 nt
Filed under: Bacteroidota bacterium
Lineage: Bacteria; Pseudomonadati; Bacteroidota
Also listed under: 3 other names
Description: tRNA-Gln
Rfam family: tRNA
About the family: Transfer RNA (tRNA) molecules are approximately 80 nucleotides in length. Their secondary structure includes four short double-helical elements and three loops (D, anti-codon, and T loops).
Source: RNAcentral
UGCCCCGUCGUCUAAUGGCAAGACGGCAGACUCUGGAUCUGCUUAUCGAGGUUCGAAUCCUUGCGGGGCAG